This 253-nucleotide ribosomal RNA is filed under the name uncultured bacterium. RNAcentral describes it as "partial 16S ribosomal RNA". It matches the Rfam family "Bacterial small subunit ribosomal RNA", at positions 524 to 776 of the family's 1533-position model. The record is from RNAcentral.
UACGAAGGGGGCUAGCGUUGCUCGGAAUCACUGGGCGUAAAGCGACCGCAGGCGGCCUGACAAGUCGGAUGUGAAAGCCCUGGGCUCAACUCAGGAACAGCACUCGAAACUGGCAGGCUUGAGUACGGGAGAGGGGGGUGGAAUUCCUGGUGUAGGGGUGAAAUUCGUUGAUAUCAGGAGGAACACCGGCGGCGAAGGCGGCCCCCUGGCCCGCAACUGACGCUCAUGGUCGAAAGCGUGGGGAGCAAACAGG